RNAcentral lists this ribosomal RNA (433 nucleotides) under uncultured bacterium. RNAcentral describes it as "partial 16S ribosomal RNA". It matches the Rfam family "Bacterial small subunit ribosomal RNA", at positions 29 to 507 of the family's 1533-position model. The record is from RNAcentral.
AGCGAACGCUGGCGGCAGGCCUAACACAUGCAAGUCGAACGAACUCUUCGGAGUUAGUGGCGGAUGGGUGUGUAACACGUGGGAACGUGCCUUUUGGUUCGGAAUAACUCAGGGAAACUUGUGCUAAUACCGAAUGUGCUCUUCGGGGGAAAGAUUUAUCGCCAUUAGAGCGGCCCGCGUCUUAUUAGCUUGUUGGUGUGGUAACGGCUCACCAAGGCGACGAUCAGUAGCUGGUUAGAGAGGAUGACCAGCCACACUGGGACUGAGACACGGCCCAGACUCCUACGGGAGGCAGCAGUGGGGAAUCUUGCGCAAUGGGCGAAAGCCUGACGCAGCCAUGCCGCGUAAAUGAUGAAGGUCUUAGGAAAGUAAAAUUCUUUCACCGGGGACGAUAAUGACGGUACCCGGAGAAGAAGCCCCGGCUAACUUCGUG